Long non-coding RNA from Oncorhynchus nerka (sockeye salmon), 239 nucleotides. RefSeq lists it as uncharacterized. The record is from RefSeq and is a predicted model, not a curated record. NCBI's taxonomy places the organism in Eukaryota, Metazoa, Chordata, Actinopteri, Salmoniformes, Salmonidae. The transcript has 3 exons.
AGAUGAAGCUGGAGGCCCGCAGGAAAGCAGAGGAGGAGAGGAGGAGGAGAGAGGAGGAGCUGACGAAGAGAGAGGUGGUUAACGUCACACACCUGGUGAUCCCUGCCGAGCUUGGCUCUUUACUGCAGGCUGCAUCAGGUGGCAGAGAGCUCCAUUCUGAGUGUCUAGCUCUGGUCCAGCUCCUCACGUCUCUCUGUGUGUCUAGGUGGCAGAGAGCUCCAUUCUGAGUGUCUAGCUCU